AUGAACGUUGGCGGCGUGGAUUAGGCAUGCAAGUCGAGCGCGAAUCGUAGCAAUACGAGGAGAGCGGCAAACGGGGUAGGAAGGAUUGGUGACGUACCCUCCGGACGGGGAUAGCCAUGGGAAACUAUGGGUAAUACCCGAUGAUCUCCUAAGUUUGAAUACUUAGGUGCAAAGGUGUGAUUCCACCGGGGGAGCGGCCAAUCUGACAUCAGCUAGUUGGUAAGGUAACGGCUUACCAAGGCUUUGACGUCUAGGGGGUGUGAGAGCAUGGCCCCCACCACUGGGACUGAGAAACUGCCCAGACACCUACGGGUGGCUGCGGUCGAGAAUCUUCGGCAAUGGGCGCAAGCCUGACCGAGCGACGCCGCGUGUGGGAUGAAGGCCCUUGGGUUGUAAACCACUGUCAGAGGGGAUGAAGUGCAGGAGAGCUAUCUCUUCUGCUUGACAUAGCCUCAGAGGAAGCACGGGCUAAGUUCGU
This 478-nucleotide ribosomal RNA is filed under the name uncultured bacterium. Its description in RNAcentral is "bacterial SSU rRNA". It matches the Rfam family "Bacterial small subunit ribosomal RNA", at positions 29 to 506 of the family's 1533-position model. The record is from RNAcentral.